AUUGAACGCUGGCGGCAGGCCUAACACAUGCAAGUCGAGCGGAUGAAGGGAGCUUGCUCCUGGAUUCAGCGGCGGACGGGUGAGUAAUGCCUAGGAAUCUGCCUGGUAGUGGGGGAUAACGUCCGGAAACGGGCGCUAAUACCGCAUACGUCCUGAGGGAGAAAGUGGGGGAUCUUCGGACCUCACGCUAUCAGAUGAGCCUAGGUCGGAUUAGCUAGUUGGUGGGGUAAAGGCCCACCAAGGCGACGAUCCGUAACUGGUCUGAGAGGAUGAUCAGUCACACUGGAACUGAGACACGGUCCAGACUCCUACGGGAGGCAGCAGUGGGGAAUAUUGGGCAAUGGGCGAAAGCCUGAUCCAGCCAUGCCGCGUGUGUGAAGAAGGUCUUCGGAUUGUAAAGCACUUUAAGUUGGGGGGAAGGGCAGUAAGUUAAUACCUUGCUGUUUUGACGUUACCAACAGAAUAAGCACCGGCUAACUUCGUG
Molecule: ribosomal RNA, 484 nt
Filed under: uncultured bacterium
Lineage: Bacteria
Description: partial 16S ribosomal RNA
Rfam family: Bacterial small subunit ribosomal RNA
Source: RNAcentral